UUAAUUAUUAUUUUUUUAAGAAAAGAGGAGCAAUACAUCACUCACUCUAAGAAGAUCCACCCCUUUUUCUUUUUUCACCCAGAAAAGUGUUCUUCUACAUUUGAUUUCUCAAAUACCCAAAAGCCUAUUUUGAGUCCAAACUUAUCAUUCUUGAAUAAAAAUGCAAUUUUUAUGUGUUUUGUGUUUAUGGGUAUCAAAGUCUUGAAUAAAAAUGCAAUCUUUAUGUGUUUUGUGUUAAAGGGUAUCAAAGUUUUCUUCUUUUCUUUGGGAUUGAUCUGUAAAGAUUGAAUUUUCAGUUUUUUUGAUUGAUGAAGAAAAUGGUGUGACUGAUUUUUGAGAGUUCUUGGCAUAUUUUUUUGUUUUUUUGGAUUUCUUUGAAGUGUUUAGUUUAGGAUUUUUAGUAAUGGAGUCAAGAAUGGAACAUUAUGAGGUAAUGGAACAGAUUGGGCGUGGAGCAUUUGGUGCUGCUAUUUUAGUUAAUCACAAGCAAGAAAAAAAGAAGUAUGUGCUCAAGAAGAUUCGAUUAGCUCGACAAACUGAACGUUGCAGGAGAUCUGCUCAUCAAGAGAUGGCACUGAUCGCUCGUCUUCAACAUCCAUAAAUUGUUGAGUUCAAGGAAGCAUGGGUAGAGAAGGUGAGAACCCUGAUUUUGUUUUCAAGUGCUGAGUUGAC
This is a long non-coding RNA of Solanum stenotomum, 672 nucleotides long. RefSeq lists it as uncharacterized. The transcript has 3 exons. The record is from RefSeq and is a predicted model, not a curated record. Lineage: Eukaryota; Viridiplantae; Streptophyta; Magnoliopsida; Solanales; Solanaceae.